This 338-nucleotide ribosomal RNA is filed under the name uncultured bacterium. RNAcentral describes it as "bacterial SSU rRNA". It matches the Rfam family "Bacterial small subunit ribosomal RNA", at positions 30 to 368 of the family's 1533-position model. The record is from RNAcentral.
AUUGAACGCUGGCGGCAGGCCUAACACAUGCAAGUCGAGCGGAUGAGUGGAGCUUGCUCCAUGAUUCAGCGGCGGACGGGUGAGUAAUGCCUAGGAAUCUGCCUGGUAGUGGGGGACAACGUUUCGAAAGGAACGCUAAUACCGCAUACGUCCUACGGGAGAAAGCAGGGGACCUUCGGGCCGUUGCGCUAUCAGAUGAGCCUAGGUCGGAUUAGCUAGUAGGUGAGGUAAUGGCUCACCUAGGCGACGAUCCGUAACUGGUCUGAGAGGAUGAUCAGUCACACUGGAACUGAGACACGGUCCAGACUCCUACGGAGGCAGCAGUGGGGAAUAUUGGG